AUUAUUUUAAUAUUAUUUUAAAAUUGUUUUAUUUAUAAAAUAUUCUUUUUAAUUGAUCUAUGCAUGUAGUUUAUUAAUAUAUUUUUUUUGGAUUAAAUGCAUAUAAAUCCUGCAAACAUAGUAAAUUACAAAUAUAUUAUUACAAAAUUUAAUUUUUAUAUAUUGUUUCUACAAAAAGUUCUAAUAUUUUUAAAUAUGCUCCUCUAGUUUGUUACUGUUAAAGAACUAUUUAUAUUUUAACAGUAAAUAAGUAAAAUGUUAAUUUUGCUGCCACAAAUACGUUACUUCAAAAAUUACAAUAAUAUAAUAUAAGAGAGGAUAAAAAUGUCAAGUUAUUUUAUAGUUAAACUAAUCAGAGUUACGUAUUUAACAUAUAAUUAACUAAUUUUUUAUAGCAUAUUCUAAUUAUAUAGAUAUAUUUGAAAAUAUUAGAAUUUUAUAGAAAUAAAAUAUAGAAGUUAAUUUUUAAAAAAAUAUAUUUAUAAUUUAUUAUAUUUACUAUGUGUUACAUGUGUAUG
This 518-nucleotide long non-coding RNA is filed under the name Ananas comosus (pineapple). Its description in RNAcentral is "long non-coding RNA (ACOM_LNC033926)". The record is from RNAcentral. Lineage: Eukaryota; Viridiplantae; Streptophyta; Magnoliopsida; Poales; Bromeliaceae.